Molecule: ribosomal RNA, 274 nt
Filed under: uncultured bacterium
Lineage: Bacteria
Description: partial 16S ribosomal RNA
Rfam family: Bacterial small subunit ribosomal RNA
Source: RNAcentral
AUACGGAGGGUGCAAGCGUUACCCGGAAUCACUGGGCGUAAAGCGCGCGCAGGCGGCUAUUUAAGUUGGAUGUGAAAGCCUACGGCUCAACCGUAGAACUGCAUCCAAAACUAUUUAGCUAGAGUGUGGGAGAGGAAGAUGGAAUUAGUUGUGUAGGGGUAAAAUCCGUAGAGAUAACUAGGAAUACCAAAAGCGAAGGCAAUCUUCUGGAACACUACUGACGCUGAGGCGCGAAAGCGUGGGGAGCAAACAGGAUUAGAAACCCUAGUAGUCC